UCUUCCUUUGUACCUUUUACCUUUUCCUUUGUCACCAGCGCCCCCACCUCCACCUCCACCUCCACUAUUUGCACCCCCACCCCCACCGCCGCCGCCACUUCCACCACCACCACCUCCUCCUUUACCACCAUGGUUCAUAUUACUAUUCGUUGCAACUUCCUUAGACGAAGUUGUAUUACUUCCUUGCCCAUCUCCAACAAAUUUGUGGUUUUGGUGCGAAAGGUUAGGAAUGGAAGUAGUGUUGAAGUGAGUGACGCCAUGUUCAUCACCUUUCAGUCCAUCAACCAAAGGUGAGCUGAACGCUAUUGCGAGAACCAGCACAAGCCCAAACCCUCUGGCAAUCUCCAUCUUCUGAUGCAAAUUGACAAUGCAAAAAACACACUCACCUCGCUCCCUUUAUACUCUUUCAUUUGAUUUGAAUGGCCAUUGACAGCUGGACCCAGUCCCCACUACAAGUCUAGAACAAAUUCAAAGUUUCCCAAAGGCUGCAAGACGGAGGCUGAAAGAUAGGAAAGU
This 516-nucleotide long non-coding RNA is filed under the name Vitis vinifera (wine grape). RNAcentral describes it as "long non-coding RNA (VVIN_LNC001186)". Lineage: Eukaryota; Viridiplantae; Streptophyta; Magnoliopsida; Vitales; Vitaceae. The record is from RNAcentral.